This is a long non-coding RNA of Oncorhynchus nerka (sockeye salmon), 951 nucleotides long. RefSeq lists it as uncharacterized. The transcript has 3 exons. NCBI's taxonomy places the organism in Eukaryota, Metazoa, Chordata, Actinopteri, Salmoniformes, Salmonidae. The record is from RefSeq and is a predicted model, not a curated record.
CGAACCGCUUACUGCCAGCUGUUUUGACCGAUUGAGUGGUUGCGUUCGAGUUUAUGUCAAGUCCGAUGGUCACCGUCAUUCAAAAUCUAUCCGCUGCCUUUGACACCAUGAACCAUCAGAUCCUCCUCUUCACCAUCUCAUGGUGGCGUCUCAGGCUCUGCACACUCUUGGAUUGCAUCCUACCUUGCAGGUCGCUUCUACCAGGUGGCGACAUGCAUUUCUGCGUGCCUGGCAGAUAUCUCAACCUCGACAAGACGGAACUGCCCGCUCAAAGAACUCUCCAUCAUGGUUGACAGCUCCACAGUGUUGCCCUCCCAGAGUGCAAAGAACCUUGGCGUGACCCCGGACAACCCUCGGUCAUUCUCUGCAAACAGCAAAGCAGUGACCCGCUCCUUCAGGUUAAUGCUCUAAAAUCCAUAGAGUACGACCCUACCUCACACAGGAAGCGGCACAGGUCCUAAUCCAGGCACUUGUCCUCUCCCGUCUGGACUACUGUAACUCGCUGUUUGCUGGGCUCCCCGCUUGUGCCAUUAAACCUCUGCAAAUUAUCCAGAACGCUGCAGCCCACCUGGUUUUCAACCUUCCCAUGUUUUCUCAUGUCACCCCGCUCCUCCACACACUCCACUGGCUUCCAGUUUAAACUCGCAUCCACUACAAGACCAUGGUGCUUACCUACAGACCAGUAAGAGGAACUGCCCUUCCCUACCUUCAGGCUAUGCUCAAACCCUACACCCUAACACGAGGACACCGUUCUGCCACCUUAGGUAUCUUGCCGUUCCCGCUUAGCCCACUCCAAACUCUUCUCUGACCAGGCAUCCCAAUGGUGGAACCUUCUUCCCCCUGAAGCUAGGACAGCAGAGUCCCUGCCCAUCUUCUGAAAACAUCUGAAACCCUACCUCUUCAAACAGCAUCUUACAUAAUCCUCCUCCUCACCUCAACCCCCCCCCCCCC